This 495-nucleotide ribosomal RNA is filed under the name uncultured bacterium. RNAcentral's name for it is "partial 16S ribosomal RNA". It matches the Rfam family "Bacterial small subunit ribosomal RNA", at positions 28 to 507 of the family's 1533-position model. The record is from RNAcentral.
GACGAACGCUGGCGGCGUGCCUAAUACAUGCAAGUAGAACGCUGAAGGAGGAGCUUGCUUCUCUGGAUGAGUUGCGAACGGGUGAGUAACGCGUAGGUAACCUGCCUGGUAGCGGGGGAUAACUAUUGGAAACGAUAGCUAAUACCGCAUAAGAGUAGAUGUUGCAUGACAUUUGCUUAAAAGGUGCAAUUGCAUCACUACCAGAUGGACCUGCGUUGUAUUAGCUAGUUGGUGGGGUAACGGCUUACCAAGGCGUCGAUACAUAGCCGACCUGAGAGGGUGAUCGGCCACACUGGGACUGAGACACGGCCCAGACUCCUACGGGAGGCAGCAGUAGGGAAUCUUCGGCAAUGGACGGAAGUCUGACCGAGCAACGCCGCGUGAGUGAAGAAGGUUUUCGGAUCGUAAAGCUCUGUUGUAAGAGAAGAACGAGUGUGAGAGUGGAAAGUUCACACUGUGACGGUAUCUUACCAGAAAGGGACGGCUAACUACGUG